AAACUGGGAUUAGAUACCCCACUAUGCCUAGCCCUAAACAUUGAUAGAAUUUUACAACCUCUAUCCGCCCGGGGACUACAAGCAUCAGCUUGAAACCCAAAGGACUUGGCGGUGCUUUAGAUCCACCUAGAGGAGCCUGUUCUAGAACCGAUAACCCCCGUUCAACCUCACCCCUCUUUGUUAAUACCGCCUAUAUACCACCGUCGUCAGCUUACCCUGUGAGGGACCAAUAGUAAGCUUAACUGGUACAACCCCAAACGUCAGGUCGAGGUGUAGCGUAUGGAGGGGGAAGAAAUGGGCUACAUUCGCUACAACAGCGAACACGAAUGAUGUCCUGAAACGUACAUCUGAAGGAGGAUUUAGCAGUAAGUAGAAAAUAGAGUGUUCUACUGAAAUUGGCCCUGAAGCGCGCACACACCGCC
This 422-nucleotide ribosomal RNA is filed under the name Pungitius pungitius (ninespine stickleback). Its description in RNAcentral is "partial 12S ribosomal RNA". It matches the Rfam family "Bacterial small subunit ribosomal RNA", at positions 769 to 1394 of the family's 1533-position model. Lineage: Eukaryota; Metazoa; Chordata; Actinopteri; Perciformes; Gasterosteidae. The record is from RNAcentral.